This 251-nucleotide ribosomal RNA is filed under the name uncultured prokaryote. Its description in RNAcentral is "partial 16S rRNA". It matches the Rfam family "Bacterial small subunit ribosomal RNA", at positions 525 to 775 of the family's 1533-position model. The record is from RNAcentral.
ACGGGGGGUGCGAGCGUUGUUCGGAAUUAUUGGGCGUAAAGAGCGUGUAGGCGGCUGAAUAAGUCAGAUGUGAAAUCCCUGGGCUUAACCCAGGACGUGCAUUUGAAACUAUUCGGCUAGAGUAGGGGAGAGGAAAGUGGAAUUCCUGGUGUAGAGGUGAAAUUCGUAGAUUUCAGGCGGAACGCCGGUGGCGAAGGCGACUUUCUGUCCCCAUUCUGACGCUGAGACGCGAGACCGUGGGCAGCAAACAG